RNAcentral lists this long non-coding RNA (864 nucleotides) under Gopherus agassizii (Agassiz's desert tortoise). RNAcentral describes it as "lncRNA (ENSGAGG00000009829.1)". The record is from RNAcentral. Lineage: Eukaryota; Metazoa; Chordata; Testudines; Testudinidae.
GCUGCAAAAGGUUUUUGACUAAAUUAUAUUUUAUGUAUCUUUCAGACAAGUGAAGUUUUGAAUACAUCGCCAAACGAGGAAGAUAAUGUUUGCAGCUCUUAAAUAUCAUGCAGUAGACUAUUUAUAUGAGAAUGUGGCAAGACAGAAGUUUUCUAUUGAUCGGUUAUCAUUUCGUGUUCCUCCCUGUUUACAUCAAGAUGAGAAUUACCAUCAUACUGGAGUUUUUGCUGAUGAUAAGUACAGGAGGCCAUGGAAAAGAGUUUCAGUUGUUUCCACACAAAAAAUGAUGGAUAUUUCAGUCCUGGAUCAAUGGAAGCAAAGUUUAUAUGUAGAGGAUUUCCUGGAGAAGUCUGUACCCUUUAUUUACAAUCAAAAUUAAUUUUCUUGAUGCUCAUCUGAAUAAUGCCUGAAUUGUAAAUUAAUAAUUAUAAUAAGAGUAUAGAAAGGUUUUGUUGUUAAUAGUACAGAGUAUCUGUGGCUUAAUUAACAAACAUCUUGCAGUUUACUUUUAUUUACGUGAGACUUUUGGUAAACCUUGCACUGCAUUUACGUGGAGCAUUUUCUGCUUCUUACUUGAACAAAUAGUGAAAUAAUGAGCUUUAAACUAUACCUUCUGCCAUUCAGCUAAGCCCUUGAAAUCUGUUUAUAUCCAUAAAAGGGAAGAGUCAGGAUUUGUGGGGUUUUUUUUUUUAAAGAGUAAGUUAUAGUUCAGAAAACUGGAAUGAGCCUAUUCAGAAAAAGGCUUUUUGUAAAUCUUUAAAAAUAUGUCAGGGGGUGGUGGUGGAGCUCAACUUGCAUUUUAGAGAUAUAUACAAAAAUUAUUCUACUAGUCAAGAAAUAGCAAUAAAAAUGUCUGGCAUAGCA